GUAGAGCUGAGUAGGGAUGUAAAAGUGAGGCUCUUGGAUCAGGAGGGUGCUUCAGGGUCUCUCAGCUCCACGUGUAGACCUGGUGUUUAGGGAAGUUUACUUUUGAAGUGCCAUUUCGAUUGGGUUGACCCUCUCUACAAGGGAUUCCCCUCUCCUUCUGGAAGCUUUUGUUGCAGUUAGAUUUGAGCAUGGCUCUCCCUGCUUCUAGAGCUCCCUGGGAGGCCUCAUUCAGAGUCACAAAACUUUGGGUGGGAAGAAAGAUCCUGCUUUUCUGACCAGGGGAAUUGUAAAUGUGCAUCAAGAUGGAAACCACAGCUCUUGUGCUUGCCUGGAGAACCCUUCUUGUUUCAUGCUCAACAGAAGUCAGCAGUGACCUGUGCUGGAGUGCAGCGAUCCUGGCUGUGCUUGCUGAGAUGUUCAGCUGCUUUCAUAAAGAGAGACAGGUGUAUCCAGCUGGGACUCAUUCAGAAAGGAAGUACUGGCUACGUAUGUGGCAUGUUUUGGACAUCACUAGCUGUAAGUUUUGUGCUGGAAGUUUUGUCUCUGGGACUUAAAUGACAAAAUGGUGCAGUCAUACUUCACAUUGUAAGGAAAUGUCAGUCCUUCUACAAGUGAAAAAGUGGUAGAGAUCUAGUGACGUGAAUGAAAGUAGUUCAGCAAUGUUGAGCAACUACUAUUAAUUAAAUUGACUUGCAACUCAUUACUGGUGAUGUAGGAUAAAACUGGUAAACUUCCUUUGGCACAUAUCUAAGAUAGCAGUGCAAUAAAAUGAACUUGACUUAUGAUGCAAGGCUCCUGCCAGGAUUACUUAAAAGGCAGGAUGAAGAAGUGAAAACAUUUGUUUACAAAUAUGCUUAUUUUAGACUGUUGAGAAAUUGGAUUUUAUACUUAAUGUGCUCAAUUUUAAGCUUGACAUGAACAAUAAUAUAUGGCAAAUAAUUCCAAGGUUCCAGUUCAGGAAAGACAUUUUGAUUAGAGACUCAGAAUUGCAAGAAGGCAUAAAUGCAGCUCUAA
Molecule: long non-coding RNA, 1014 nt
Organism: Pezoporus occidentalis (night parrot)
Lineage: Eukaryota; Metazoa; Chordata; Aves; Psittaciformes; Psittacidae
Exons: 5
Source: RefSeq, a predicted model, not a curated record